Non-coding RNA from Musa acuminata subsp. malaccensis (wild Malaysian banana), 2467 nucleotides. Lineage: Eukaryota; Viridiplantae; Streptophyta; Magnoliopsida; Zingiberales; Musaceae. The record is from RefSeq and is a predicted model, not a curated record.
ACCAAAGAAGCGGAGGGUGCGGACCCUCUUGCGAGCGGCGGAGAAAAUAUCCGGGUAUGUAAGAAAGGAUUUUAUUUUUCUUGAGGUGUUUGGGUUUGGAAACUGUCGCUUGCUGUUCCUGACACGGAAACUUCUGGGACUGGGGGCUCAGAGGGAGGAAGACGAUGCCGAUAGGUAGAUCGUAGAAAGGAGCUGUCUUGCUUCGUUACUGCUGCUCUCUUUCUCGAUCGUUUUUUGGGUUUUGGGGGGAAAGCGGUAUGAGGUGGGUGGCGAGGCCGGACUCGCCGGAGGUGGUGAGGGUGAGCGAAGCCUUGCCCGAGUCCAGCUUCCGCGUGCUCGACUAUGUCUUCUCGCAGAGCUACCGGGUGCCUUAUUGAGCUUGCUCACCAGAAGUGAAGAUUCACUAUGGAAAGGUGGUAAAUAUAAACAUGAAAUUAUAACUUUUGGUCAGGCUUUAGAUUCUGGAGAAUCGUCUAUACCUACUUUGGAAGUUGUCUUGGAUGAAGCAGCAGACAUCCUAAGUGUUGAUUAACCUCAUCAUGACAAUAUCAGUGCUGAAAAUUUCUUGUUCCCAGCUGUUAAUUCAUCCAAAGAUAACACAAAGUUGAGUCUCAUAUCAGAGAUAACUUCAGAUGAACAUGGCACAAACAAAAAUUGGGAAAAUGGGGAUAUUUCCCAGAAUUACAGUUUGUGUACUGAAUUUAAAGAUGUAGGUUCAGCUUUUAGAACUAGUGAAUGGAUUCUACCAAGGAAGUUUGUUGAGCUUGAUGAUACUCAGAUAACAGUGUCAAGAUUUUACAGGAAUAUUAGAUACUUUCUUGAUGACUACAUGCUCUGCACCUUGUUAUAAAAUUUUAGAGGCAGAAAGAACAAUGCUUUUGGGCACAGCAAUGCCGGAAAAGGCAUAUGUUUAUAAUGAUGAUCUACCAAGGGAUACAAACCAGCAACUUAAUGAUUUAGAAGUGCGUAGAGAUGAAGAUGCCGUAAUUGAUAGUGUGUCAACUGUAAAUUGAGCUUGUACCAACUUGAUCAGUGCUUGGAGUGAAUUAAGACCAGACAACCCUGUCACAGAAAAUGAACCUGAGAUGGUAAUGGACAUGGAUGGACAAAGUAAUAGUUUAUAUCAUGAUCCACAAGAAGCAAACAGAGAUUUAAUGGUUGAAGUUGGAUCAAACAUCUUCGGGAAAAAGAUUGGACAGAAUAGAUCCAACCAUCAUAAGGAGCACGAGAAUACCUUUGAAUCUUUCAGAGAAAGCAGUUCAGAUUUGAUUGGAUUGGAUACUAAUUAUGAGCAUUCAAUGUCUGCUUCUACCACUGAUGAUUCAUGCAUGUCAACCGAUUGUGGGCUAUACAGUGAACAAACUCUUAUGGAACUAAAAAAUAAUGAACAUUUACAUUCAUCAGUACCCACUGCAGUGUUUUCUGUUCAUGACUCUAGUCCUCUGUGCCUGCAGCAUUCAGAUAAAAUUGUUCUAAACAAUGCAUACAAGACCUCCCCACAAAUGAUGAACAAUAUUGGAGGGAGAAAUAUUAAUAAUAACCUUGAUAAAAAAUCAAAAUGAGAUUUGUCGGUUGGUGACUGGAGGAGUUGAAGUGACUAAGAACUUUCAAGUACCCUGCAGCUGUUUCUCAAAAGAUGUUCCUUGUAUGGAAUAUAUGGGCUACAUCACCUGAACUCUUUGUACUUCUGAACCUGGUGAUUGUUCUGCUACUGUUCAUACUGGUGCUCCGGCAAACUUUUAGCGAUGACCACACUAGGACUCAAGCAAGUUCGCCGUGCUCAAAUCCUGGAAUUCUAGCUGAAGAGAAAGGUGAUGUCUAUGUUGAGACAAACUUGCAGGUUAGGUAUCAAGCUCAUCAUCUCAUGCAUGAUGUUAGCAUGAGUAUAAACCACACAGUUCCUGAUUCUACUGAAGAAAGAGACGAGGUGAAGCUGUGGUAAAAGCAAUGAGGGAACUGUAGCUGCAACAAGAAACCCGAGAAAGAAGGUGCACAAGUCGAUCUCUGGUAGCGUCACAUUGAUCGGUGCACUGCUUGUUCUCCUUCAUCUGAGGAGAAACAGAGAAAGAGAAAGUUUGUCGCACUAUUGUUUCUCUACAAAAUAAAGAAACAUGUCAAGAACUUUACACACAAGACAAGAUGGAGAUCGGAAGAAGCUUAAGCUUUAAGGCCAGAAUAGACUCCACUUGAAGCAGGAGUUGGUCUUCAACCUCUUGCUGUAAAUUAGAAAUAACAUGGAGAACGAAAUAGCUGCACAUCUAAUAGAAUCUACAUUGUCUGAUGACCAUAUUUCAAGUGCUCCAACAAGUUUUUGAGACACCACUUGCACUGUGUUUGACAAUCCACAACGUUGCCAUGGAAAGCUGCUGUGUUUGACAAUCUACAAGUUAUUGGUCAUUUUUUCAAUUGAUAGGUUUCUCUGUAGUGACAAACUUGAUGAUAUCAAUUACCAGAACUAUUAUUUUGA